Molecule: long non-coding RNA, 337 nt
Filed under: Coffea arabica (coffee)
Lineage: Eukaryota; Viridiplantae; Streptophyta; Magnoliopsida; Gentianales; Rubiaceae
Description: long non-coding RNA (CARA_LNC003260)
Source: RNAcentral
UUCAAGCAAGACUCAUAGAUUCACCGGAUGAAAUCAUAUAGAAAGCCUAAAUCCCUACCUCAGAACCCAGUCCAAACCCACGAAAUAUUUCACCAAACAGAAACGUAAAACAGUGGCAUCAACCUGAGCACAUUCAUAGCAAAGAUUCACUCCUCAGAAAGUGCAGAAACGGUAUACUUACAGAGAUAAAAACCUGAGAAAUCGAUGGAAGUUGCACAGAUCUAUGGAGGGAAAGUCCUCUCUUCAACAAUUUCCAGGAGUGACGCGUUUGUCACUUCGAGCGUCGAUUCCACAUGCCUGGAGUUGUUUCCGCCCAGCUGAAAACCUCUUGUCCCUU